This 69-nucleotide transfer RNA is filed under the name Diphylla ecaudata (Hairy-legged vampire bat). Its description in RNAcentral is "tRNA-Cys". The record is from RNAcentral. Lineage: Eukaryota; Metazoa; Chordata; Mammalia; Chiroptera; Phyllostomidae.
AGGCUCUGUGGUGUAUUUGCAUGUUGAAUUGCAAGUUCAAAGAAGCAGCUUCAAUCCUGCCGGGGCUUC